GAGUUCUUCCCCUCCCCUUCCCAUGUGUAUCUUUGUAUGGGAAAGUUUAUUCUAUUGAUUCCCCCCCUAUUUCUUGAAGUUAAUCUUAGUAUUAUCACGGUUCCCCCCUCCCUUUUCCUUUUUUUGCCCCAACUUUCCCCAAAUCUUCUUAAUUCCCCAAUCUUUCCCUAUGCAUGUUUCUUCUAACUACUCUUAUGAUGAUACAAUUUAUGAGAGUUACACAAAACAUUUUCCCCACAUAUUAAUAUAUAUAAUUUGAUGUAAAUGUAGUCCUUAUAGAAGAGAGUUUGACUUAAAGAGAAAGAUAAGAUUUAUCUCCUUUUCCCUUUCUUUCAUAUUUACCUUUUCAUGUUUCUCUUGCUUUCUGUGCUUGGAUAUCGAACUUUCCACAGAGCUCUGGUCUUUUCUUAGCAAAUGCUUGGAAAUCUUCUAUUUUGUUGAAUGCCCAUACUUCCCCCUGGAAGUAUAUAAUCAGUUUUGCUGGGUAGUUGAUUCUUGGUUGGAGACCCAGCUCUCUUGCCUUUCUAAAUAUCGUGUUCCAUGCUUUGCGGUCUCUUAGUGUAUUAGCCGCUAAGUCGUGUGUGAUCCUUAUGGGAGCCCCCUUAUAUCUGAAGCUCUUCUUCUUGGCUUCUUGUAGGAUUUUCUCCUUUACUUGGAAGCUCUUGAAUUUGGCAAUUACAUUCCUAGGCGUUGUCUUUUGGGGAUUUAGUAUAGAAGGUGUUCUAUGAAUCCUUUCUAUUUCUAUUUUGUCCCCUUGCUCCAGAACGUGGGGGCAAUUUUCUUUUAUAAUCUCCUGUAGAAUAAUAUCCAAUUUGUUGUUUACCUCUGGUUUUUCUGGGAGACCGAUGAUACGGAGAUUUUCUCGUCUUCCUCUGUUCUCCAGGUCCGUGACCUUCUCAGUGAGAUAUUUUAUGUUUUCUUCCAAUUCAUUAAUUAUUUGGGUUUGCUUUAUUGAUUCUUGCUGUUUUAUCAUCUCACUUUCUUCGAGGUGCUUAAUUCUGGUCAUUAGGGACUGGAUUUGCUUUUCAGCCUUGUCUGCCCUUCUAUUGGAUGCUUCGAGUUCUUUUUCCAAUUGAGCAGUCUUAUCUGUCAGACAGCUGAUCUCUUUCUCCCAUUUUUCUUUCCAGAAGGUUUCCAUCUUUUGGAUAAGUUCCAGUUUGAGAUCUUCCAGAGCUUGUUGAUAGUUUCCAUUUUGGGAGGCGUGUUCUGAAUUUUUUUGGAUUUCCUCCUCAUUCUCCUCUUUUCCUUGGGUACUUCCACCAUAAAAGUUUUCAAUAGUCACUUUUUUCCCUUUCUUCCUGGAGGCUUGAUUUUGGGCCAUGUGAGCCAUCCCUUUGGUGGUUUUAUUUCCCUUUCCUUUUUGGUCUGGGGUCUGGGUUAUAAGAGCGGUUUUUCUGUGAAUUUAGGUUGCUUCAGACUAGUUCUUC
Molecule: long non-coding RNA, 1427 nt
Filed under: Monodelphis domestica (gray short-tailed opossum)
Lineage: Eukaryota; Metazoa; Chordata; Mammalia; Didelphimorphia; Didelphidae
Description: lncRNA (ENSMODG00000039111.1)
Source: RNAcentral